This 497-nucleotide ribosomal RNA is filed under the name uncultured bacterium. RNAcentral describes it as "partial 16S ribosomal RNA". It matches the Rfam family "Bacterial small subunit ribosomal RNA", at positions 28 to 507 of the family's 1533-position model. The record is from RNAcentral.
GAUGAACGCUGGCGGCGUGCCUAAUACAUGCAAGUCGAGCGAACGGACGAGAAGCUUGCUUCUCUGAUGUUAGCGGCGGACGGGUGAGUAACACGUGGAUAACCUACCUAUAAGACUGGGAUAACUUCGGGAAACCGUAGCUAAUACCGGAUAAUAUUUUGAACCGCAUGGUUCAAAAGUGAAAGACGGUCUUGCUGUCACUUAUAGAUGGAUCCGGGCUGCAUUAGCUAGUUGGUAAGGUAACGGCUUACCAAGGCAACGAUGCAUAGCCGACCUGAGAGGGUGAUCGGCCACACUGGAACUGAGACACGGUCCAGACUCCUACGGGAGGCAGCAGUAGGGAAUCUUCCGCAAAGGGCGAAAGCCUGACGGAGCAACGCCGCGUGAGUGAUGAAGGUCUUCGGAUCGUAAAACUCUGUUAUUAGGGAAGAACAUAUGUGUAAGUAACUGUGCACAGCUUGACGGUACCUAAUCAGAAAGCCACGGCUAACUACGUG